RNAcentral lists this long non-coding RNA (519 nucleotides) under Pollicipes pollicipes. Its description in RNAcentral is "uncharacterized LOC119096024". Lineage: Eukaryota; Metazoa; Arthropoda; Thecostraca; Pollicipedomorpha; Pollicipedidae. The record is from RNAcentral.
CAUCACAAGCCCAUCGGCGAGCCACAGCCAGCGCACAGACAACCGACCGUGUCCGGCCCAGCGUUCCAGCCAUGCGUCUGCAAAUGACCAUUCUCCUGGCGGCGUGCGUCGCCGCCACAUCGGGCUGUUUCUACUUCUGCAAGCGGCCGGGGCCAAAUGGCGAAAAGGAGCUGUACUGCUGUGACAACAACAAGCCGGGCCGGUGUCCGCCGGUGCGGGACGACUGCCCAGCCUUUGCCAGCUUCAGCGGGCCGCAGUAUUGCACCACGGACGGUGACUGCACUGGCAGCAUGAAGUGCUGCUACGACAAGUGCGCAGCGAGAACCGUCUGCAAGACGGCCCUGUGAUGAGGUGCAGUCGGCUGGCGAGCAGGAGGCGGCGGGACACGGCAUCUGCCCCGCCCCGGCCCGGGUGCUCACCUCCUCCGUCGGCAGCCACACUGACACCCCGCAUACGGUGUCGAACGUGACGUGAUGUAACAUGGCAUCGCUCAAUACAAUGUCCACGCUUCUUCUCUUA